This 886-nucleotide ribosomal RNA is filed under the name uncultured bacterium. RNAcentral's name for it is "bacterial SSU rRNA". It matches the Rfam family "Bacterial small subunit ribosomal RNA", at positions 505 to 1401 of the family's 1533-position model. The record is from RNAcentral.
GUGCCAGCAGCCGCGGUAAUACGUAGGGUGCAAGCGUUAUCCGGAAUUAUUGGGCGUAAAGAGUUGCGUAGGCGGACUAACAAGUUUUUGGUGAAAUCCUUCGGCUUAACCGGAGAACUGCCAAGAAUACUGUUAGACUUAGAGGGAAUCAGGGGGUGCUGGAACUCGUGGUGUAGUAGUUAAAUGCGUUGAUAUCACGAGGAACACCAAAGGCGAAGGCAGGCACCUGGGAUUCACCUGACGCUAAGGCACGAAAGCGUGGGGAGCGAAACGGAUUAGAUACCCGUGUAGUCCACGCCGUAAACGAUAGAUACUAGAUGCUUGGGGUAUUGACCCCCUGGGCGUCGUAAGCUAACGCGUUAAGUAUCCCGCCUGGGGAGUACGGUCGCAAGACUAAAACUCAAAGGAAUUGACGGGGGACCGCACAAGCGGUGGAGCGCGUGGUUUAAUUCGAUGUUAAGCGAAGAACCUCACCGGGAUUUGACAUGCUACUGCUAAGCCUAUGAAAGUAGGCCUCCUUCGAGGGUGUAGCACAGGUGUUGCACGGCUGUUGUCAGCUCGUGUCGUGAGAUGUUGGCUUAAGUGCUAUAACGAGCGCAACCCUCGUGAUAAGUUGUAUCACUCUUAUCAGACUGCCUGUACUUAUGUACAGGAGGAAGGCGGGGACGACUUCAAGUCAUCGUGGCCCUUAUAUCCCGGGCUACACACGCGCUACAAUGGUAGAUAACAACGAGUUGCAAGUCAGCGAUGGCAAGCUAAUCUCUUAAACUCUAUCUCAGUCCGGAUUGCAGGCUGAAACUCGCCUGCAUGAAGUUGGAAUCGCUAGUAAACGCAGGUCAGCACACUGCGUUGAUACGUUCUCGUCUUGCACUCACCGCCCGUCAAG